CACCUCUCAGGGUCACACCUGGAGAGUUUCCAAUACUCUACCAGUCUCAACUAAGGGAGGUAGAGUCAAGCAGAGAGGCAUAUCCCUUCUGUUCCUAGCUUGGGCAGUGGCUAGUGAGGGGAAGACAAUCUGCUACAAGU
Molecule: small nucleolar RNA, 140 nt
Organism: Ornithorhynchus anatinus (platypus)
Lineage: Eukaryota; Metazoa; Chordata; Mammalia; Monotremata; Ornithorhynchidae
Source: RefSeq, a predicted model, not a curated record